UUGCAAUGGCUUCUUUGAAACUCAUUUUCUCUUCUUAUUCUCUCUUCUUCUUUCUUCUUUUUCGUUCUUCUUCUCUGCUCUUCUUCAGUUGAAAAUCGAGAGGUGAAAUUGAGGUAUGGCUUGAGGAAAUUUAAAUCGUGAGGAUGUAUAAAAGAAGAAGGAGUUGGUGUUUCUGCUAAUUAUGAAGAAGAAGAUUGAGUCCUGUUAUGAAUCGAGAACUAGGGUUUUCUUAGUGAAUCGUUAAUUGAGUUAGAAAUGGAGAAAUUAAAUAUGGGUUUUGUUCAUAUUGAAGAUUCGAACACGAAUUUCUGAAGAUUUGUCACCAUGGGUGCCUUAACUAUCAAUAGCUGUAAGCGUCGUAACGAUUAUCUUAACUUAAAUUAUGCGGACGGAGGAAGGCUUAAAGUCUAACUUUCGGAAGGACUCUCUGAGGAUUGCAGCUUAGAUGUACAACCUGUAAUUAAGUACAGACAAAAUGGCGUUAUCUUUUAACACAUGGAAGUAGAGAGAACUCAAUCACUCAUUCAGAACACCACCAAGCUGGUUGGAGAUUUCUUCUCCUGAGGUUGCUGUUGGAAUCCACAAAGACAAUAUUGAUCCUGUUCUAAAACAUAUCAUCUUAUGUCACGGCGUUGGUUUGCCCAUGCUUCUCCUACUCUUUUCAAUGCAAGGACACCAAGGCCUCAAUUGAGUAGAGGCUUCCAUGUGUGCAUGAUAGAGGACAAUAUUGAAGGAAUAUACGACACUUUGAAGGAGUGUGCUGUUAUUAGUAAAUCUGCUGGAGGAAUUGGAGUUUCUGUACACAACAUCGAUGCCACUAGUCUUAGCUUUGAAGGAUCUUUCUCUGGAUGGAACACUGGCUCCUGAAAUUUGUAAUUUUU
This is a long non-coding RNA of Papaver somniferum (opium poppy), 881 nucleotides long. RefSeq lists it as uncharacterized. NCBI's taxonomy places the organism in Eukaryota, Viridiplantae, Streptophyta, Magnoliopsida, Ranunculales, Papaveraceae. The transcript is spliced from 5 exons. The record is from RefSeq and is a predicted model, not a curated record.